CCUACGGGUGGCAGCAGUGAGGAAUAUUGGUCAAUGGGCGCGAGCCUGAACCAGCCAAGUAGCGUGAAGGAUGACUGCCCUACGGGUUGUAAACUUCUGUUAUAAAGGAAUAAAGUGAGGCACGUGUGCCUUGUUGUAUGUACUGUAUGAAUAAGGAUCGGCUAACUCCGUGCCAGCAGCCGCGGUAAUACGGAGGAUCCGAGCGUUCUCCGGAUUUAGUGGGGUUCAAGGGAGCGUAGAUGGGUUGUUAAGGCAGUUGUGAAAGUUUGCGGCUCAACCGUAAAAUUGCAAUUGAUACUGGCAGCCUUGAGUCCAGUUGAGGUAGGCGGCCUUCGUGUUGUAGCGG
RNAcentral lists this ribosomal RNA (346 nucleotides) under uncultured bacterium. RNAcentral's name for it is "partial 16S ribosomal RNA". It matches the Rfam family "Bacterial small subunit ribosomal RNA", at positions 338 to 681 of the family's 1533-position model. The record is from RNAcentral.